CCCUAAUCGAUGGAUUUCACAUGACAAGUUUGCAGAUGACACAACAGUAGUAGACCUGAUUACCAACAAUGACAAGCCUACAGGGAGGAGGUGAGGGCCCUGACGGAGUGAUGUCAGGAAAAUACCCUCUCCCUCAACGUCAACAAAAUGAAGAAGCUGAUCGUGGACUUCAGGAAACAGCAGAGGGAGUAUGCCCCUAUCCACAUCGACAGGACCGCAGUGGAGAAGGUGGAAAGCUUCAAGUUCCUCGGAAUACACAUCACUGACAAUCUGAAAUGGUCCACCCACACAGACAGCAUGGUGAAGAAGGCGCAACAGCAUUUCGUUACACCUGCAAUAACAUCUGCUAAAUAUGUGUAUGUGACCAAUACAAUUUGAUUUCACUGAGCAGGGGCCCACCCACUGGGGAGUCAGGCCCAGCCAAUCAGAAUGAGUUUUUCCCAAAAAAAUUGCUUUUUUACAGACAGAAAUACUCCUCAGUUUCAUCAGCUGUCCGGGUGGCUGGUCUCAGAUGAUCCCGCAGGUGAAGAAGCUGGAUGUGGAUGUGGAGGUCCUGGGCUGGUGUGGUUACACCUGGUCUGCGGUUGUGAGGCCGGUUGGAUGUACUGCCAAAUUCUGUCAAACAACGUUGGAGGUGGCUUAUGGUAGAGAAAUUAACAUUCAAUUCUCUGGAAAGAGCUCUGGUGGACAUUCCUGCAGUCAGCAUGACAAUUGCAUGCUCCCUCAAAAUUUGAGACAUCAGCGGCAUUGUGUUGUGGGACAAAACUGCACAUUGUAGAGUGUCCUUUUAUUGUCCCCAGCACAAGAUGUAAUGAUCAUGCUGUUUAAUCAGCUUCUUGAUAUGCCACACUUGUCAGGUGGAUGGACUCGCUUGGCAAAUGAGAAAUGCUCACUGAUAAGGAUUUAAACAAAUUUGUACACAAAAUUUAAGAGAAAUAAGCUUUUUGUGCAUAUGGAACAUUUCUGGGAACUUUUAUAUCAGCUCAUGAAACAUGGGACCAACACUUCACAUGUUGUUUAUCUUUCUGUUCAGUAGAGUUGUACUGCAGCUGAAAAGUUGGCAUUGUCGACAUCAUCGCUAUGAUGAAUGGAAAUAGAUGAAGAGUCUUUUUCCAGCGCAACAUCAAAGAUGAAUAACAGCGCUGAAAUGACAUUAUUAAACUAUUGCAUCAAUGUAAUACUAUGAAAUGUUUGUUUAAUUUUCACUUUAACAAGAUUAAGAGUGCACCACUCUGAUCAUAUUCUGGUGAUGGGUCGUUCGCCAACGAGUUGGCUCUAAGAGUCGGCUCUUGUAGGUGAACAUUAGGAACCGGCUCGCAUAUCAGAAGAGCCAAAUCUAUUUAUAAAAAAAUAAAAGAAUCAAAAGAUUUAAAUGAACAGAGUUAACUAAUUCAAAAAACAAAAAAAGAAGUAAAAUAAUAUAGGCUUAACUGCUCAAGCGCACACAUUCAUUCUGACUGUCUGCUUAGACUAACAGCCUCAUCUGUUGUUCCUGUCAAUCAGACACAGUGUCAACCAAUGAACCAAAGAUGCGUGAGGGAGGGCUGAGCCAACUCACUCACAGUCACACACUUAGCAGCCGAGGAGAGAGAGGAAGGACAGCUGUGAAAACAACUGCUGGAAAAUGAGUCGGAAGCACAGUAGCAUUUGGAUGCAUUUUAAUAAUGUAGACAAUGUUAGAGCACAGUGUAGAAUUUGCAACAACAAAAAUCUCAUAUAAAGCCGGUUCUAUGCACAACCUACACCGGCAUAUGCGAACAGUGCACCCAACUGUGAAGCUAGCUGUAGCGGAGCUUCGAGAAACUAGCGGCCUGCUAGUGAUAGUGGUGGAGCCAGCACCUCCACACGUGGUCAGUCAAGUAGGCCUACUCCACGACCCACAGCAACGCAGUCUUCUAUGGACCAGUUUAUGGCAAAGUCUAUGUCUGUAGCAAAACAAGGCCAAAUUGAUAUUGCACUGGCUAAAAGAUUGCCACUGAUUUCCAGCCAUUUUUGAUCGUGGAGGACAGAGGUUUUAUAAAUUAUAGCAAUCGUCUAAAUCCAAUGUACACAAUUCCAAACAGGAAAACCCUUUCAAAAUCACUUAUUCCACAACUGUACGAGAGCACACAGGCUUCAGUGUGGGAAAGAGUCCUAAAAGCUACUGCAGUUUGCCUUACCACUGACUGCUGGACAUCAAGGUUAACCACUUCUUACCUGUCGGUUACAUGUCACUUCAUUGAAGAUUUUUCGAUGUCUAGCUGUCUUCUGGACUGCUUUGAGUUCAGCGACAGUCACACCUCAGAGAACUUGGCAGAGGAACUGUUGAGAGUGGUCAGAGAAUGGCAAGUAGAUGGAAAAGUGGUCUGCUGUGUUAGUGCAGCUAACAUAACCAAAGCCAUGAACAUUUUUAAAUGGACCCAUCGUCCAUGUCUUGCCCACACAAUCAACCUAAUUGUAAGAGAUGCUCUGAAGGUGAUGAAGCCCACUGUGGACAAAGUGAAAGCAGCUGUGGAAUACUUCCACAGGAGCACAGUAGGUGCUGAAAAACUUGUCUACACAAUGCCAGAUGGGGAUGCCUGAGCUGAGGCCUAAACAAGGCUGCACUACAAGGUGGAAUUCAACAUCUUAUAUGUUGAAGCGGUUUCUUGAGUCAAAGGAUGCCAUCAUCUCUACCCUGGCCAUUGUCAAUGCACCUGUUGAUGCUCUGACCCAAGAGGAAUGGGAGGUGGUGGAGGUGUGCAGAGUCCUGGAACCCUUUGAGCAGGUCACUGUGGAGAUCAGUGGAGAGGUAGACUAUGUGACAGCCUCAAAAAUGAUACUCCUGUGUAAGGUUCUGCAGCAAAUCACAGCCAGCCGCCAGAGAGAAGCAAAUGUAACCACAGUACAUGUGACAGAGUUGGUGGACACCCUAUGUUCAUCAAUGGACAGAAAGUUCCACAGAAUGGAAUAUAAUCACGUGCUAUCAGAAACCGCUGCACUUGACCCCAGGUUUGAGAAGUUAGCCUUCAGUGAUGACAGAGCGAUUGAUGAGGCUCUUCAAAGAAUAACCUCAGCAGCAGGGAGGGACAGCCCCAGCAGUCAGCUGGCUCAGGCACCAGGGCAACAGGAAGAAGAGGGAGCAGAUGGAGCAGAAGCACCAGCAGUAGUGCCACAAACGUCUGCUGUUUGGAUGCUGUUUGAGAGAGAGCAACUGGGGAUGCAGCACGAAGGAAUCCCUCAGCAGAUGCCAUAAUGGAGGUCCGAUCCUAUUUGGAGGAGCCCCUCCUCCAAAGAUCUGCAGAUCCUCUGAGCUGGUGGAAGAACAAGGCCUCUGUCUACCCACGGCUUACUAAAGUCCUGACAGGGAGACUCUGCAUAGUGGCCACAUCAGUUCCCUCUGAGAUGGUCUUCUCGAAAACGGGACAAAUAAUUACUGAGAGAAGAAACCACAUCAGCCCCUCGAAAGUGAGGCAGCUUGCAUUUCUGAAUUCAAAUCUCUCAUAAAAGCAAAUAUGGUUAGCAUUGCUGUGUGCUGCUGGUUAUAACAUGGCAAUAAAGAAGAGAGAGAAAAGAGGGACCAGUUUAAUGUUUUUAGUGGGAUGCUGCAGUUUUUCACAUUGUUAUUUAUUUUUCUUUGAUAUGGUG
RNAcentral lists this long non-coding RNA (3606 nucleotides) under Salmo salar (Atlantic salmon). RNAcentral's name for it is "lncRNA (ENSSSAG00000098035.1)". The record is from RNAcentral. Lineage: Eukaryota; Metazoa; Chordata; Actinopteri; Salmoniformes; Salmonidae.